Ctenopharyngodon idella (grass carp) is the source of this 1282-nucleotide long non-coding RNA. RefSeq lists it as uncharacterized. The record is from RefSeq and is a predicted model, not a curated record. The transcript has 5 exons. NCBI's taxonomy places the organism in Eukaryota, Metazoa, Chordata, Actinopteri, Cypriniformes, Xenocyprididae.
CGGCCAGCACACUCAACAACAAGAUCCUCAGCAUGUUUGCAGUCUGUCUGGUCUUUCUGCACUCUUCCAUCAUCCAUAUAUAUGCCCGCAGAAGUUCACAGCGCUGUACAGAACAGGUGUUUGACUCACAGCUGAUGCCCACAGGUCACAUGCUGGUCACUGAAGUGCCUUCAAGGAGCAUCUGAUCAGAUGGAGUUCCCAUUGACAUGCAUUAUACAACUGACAGACCGCAACGGUUGGAGUUAAAAAUCAUCAUUUGUGUUCUACUGAAGAAACAAAGUCACCUACAUCUUGGAUGCCCUGGGGCCGGUCUCUCUUCCGCCGUGUCCUGUCGUCAUGAGAGUGUCAGCAGAGGCUGCUGUGUACCGGCACAUUCAGUUUUCCAUCAGAUAACUGGAAACUUGACGCCACAUCGGGAGCUUUUUUCAUCACUGAUAGCGCCUCGCUGUCUGGAUAGCUGCAAAGAACUCUGCAGGUCCCGUGGGGUUCGAGUAUGCGCACCGAACGGACGCUCUCCAUCACACACACUCCGUGACCCCUGCAGACAGCGUCCCCUGUGCGCUCUGAUGCAGGCACACGCCGUCGCGGGCAGGGGAAAGCUCUCAGAGUGGACGCGCUCGUCUCCGCGCGUCAUGUCAACAGCCACAUGUUCCCCGAGAGACACGCCACAUUCACAGAGGUGGUCUUGAGUGAUGUCACAGGUCAGGGUCAUGUGACCAUAUUGACAGCAGCCAAUGCGAGACCGAGAGCAAGGUGGAGGCAGCAGUCAGUGACCCUGAAACUGCUCAGGCGACAAAACCAAUCAUCUCUCUCUGUUUGUCUGUCCAUCCAUCCAUCCAUCCAUCCAUCCAUCUGUCCAUCCAUCCACGUAUCCACCCAUCCAUCCGUCCAUCCAUCCACCCAUCCAUGGAUCCACGCAUCCACCCAUCCAUCGAUCCAUCCCUCCCUCCAUCCGUCCGUCCAUCCAUCCAUCAAUCCAUCCCUCCGUCCGUCCAUCCUUCCAUCCAACCAUCCAUCCAUUUAUCUGUCCAUCCAUCCAGCCGUCCACCUAUCCAUCGAUCCACCCAUCCACCCAUCCAUCCACCCAUCCAUCCAUCCAUCCAUCCAUCUAGUCGUCCACCCAUCCAUCCAUCCAUCCAUCCAUCAUCCAUCCAUCCAUCCAUCCAUACACCCACCCACCCACCCAUCCAUCAAUCCAUCAAUCCAUCCAUCCCUCCGUCCGUCCGUCCGUCCUUCCAUCCAUCAAUCCAUCCCUCCGUCCAUCUGUCCAUCCAUCCACCCA